Molecule: ribosomal RNA, 253 nt
Filed under: uncultured bacterium
Lineage: Bacteria
Description: partial 16S ribosomal RNA
Rfam family: Bacterial small subunit ribosomal RNA
Source: RNAcentral
UACGAAGGGGGCUAGCGUUGCUCGGAAUCACUGGGCGUAAAGCGCACGUAGGCGGCUUUCUAAGUCAGGGGUGAAAUCCUGGAGCUCAACUCCAGAACUGCCUUUGAUACUGGAGAGCUUGAGUCCGGGAGGGGUGAGUGGAACUCCGAGUGUAGAGGUGAAAUUCGUAGAUAUUCGGAAGAACACCAGUGGCGAAGGCGGCUCACUGGCCCGGUACUGACGCUGAUGUGCGAAAGCGUGGGGAGCAAACAGG